This 12973-nucleotide long non-coding RNA is filed under the name Lathyrus oleraceus (garden pea). RNAcentral describes it as "Pisum sativum (pea) long non-coding RNA (PSAT_LNC034251)". The record is from RNAcentral. Lineage: Eukaryota; Viridiplantae; Streptophyta; Magnoliopsida; Fabales; Fabaceae.
UUCCAAAGGUUGUUGAUUCAAUCAAGACUGUUGAGAUCGUUGAAGGAAAUGGUGGUCCAGGCACUGUCAAGAAGCUCACUUUUGUUGAAGGAGGACAGACCUUGUACGUGUUGCACAAAGUUGAAGCCAUUGAUGAUGCAAAGUUGGAAUAUAAUUACAGUAUAGUUGGAGGAGUCGGUAUAUCGGAGAUAGUUGAGAAGAUAUCAUUUGAGGCCAAAUUGUUUGAAGGUCCAAAUGGUGGAUCUGUAGGGAAGAUGACGGUUAAAUAUCACACCAAAGGAGAUGCUAAGCCCAUUGAAAAGGAGGUUGAGGAAGGCAAAGCUAAGGGCGAUGCUCUUUUCAAGGCUAUUGAGGGUUACGUUUUGGCCAAUCCUAAUUACAACUGAUGAUACAAUCAUCACUCUCCUUACUAAUUAGCCUCCAAUGCAAUAAAGUGUCUGUUCCCUUUGGCUAUGUAUUUCACUUUAUCAAUAAUCAACAACUUAAUAUGAAGCCUAUCCAUAUAAUAUUUUUGUUGUUAUUAAGUUUAGCAACUGUUAAAAAUUUAUGAUCAUCCGUACGAGUUUAAAAUUUUAAAAAAGACUUAUUUUGUGGGUUAUAAGGCGAAAAUACACCGACACUUUCACUUUGGUUUGAUGGAUAUAAAUCGACUAUUUUAUUGGUGUCUACUAGUAUGUGUGAGAAUAAUCUAAACCGAGAGACUUAUAAUUUAGCAUACUUCGAAAAUUGACCUUAGAAAUUUGAUUUUUAUUUUGUAUACGUAAAUAUACAAACUAAUAGCGAAUGAUAUAAAAAGCAUUCAUUUCACGGAAAUUGUAUUAAACACUUUAAAAUUUCAUACAUAAAUUUAUAAAAUAAAUUUAUUGUUAGUGACACUUUUAUUCUUAGCGAGGCAAUUGACUAUUUUAUUGGUGUUUAUAAUUAUGGAUGAGAAUGAUUUAGGGUCCGUUUGUUUUGGUUUUUUUUAAAAAUGAUUUUUAUAGUGUUAUAUAUUUUAGUGUAAAAAAAAUUUACAAAGAAACUUUUCAUAAAAGCUUCCAAUGAAAAUUUGAUUUGAAUAGUUAUUCUUAAAAUGUUAUUUUAGGUAUUUUAUCAUUUUAUCGAAACUUUUUUUUGAUAUCAAAUUUUUAAAAAAUCACUUAAUUUUGAAGCUAUUUCAAAUAGUUUUUCAUAAAAAUCAUUUUUAAGAUGCAAUUUUUUGAAAAAAUUGUGAUUUUGACUAUGUUUUGAUUUUCAAUAAUGUAUAUUUAUGUUAUACAAUGAACAAUUCAAUCUUUUAAUUUAUAAAAAACAAAUUUAGAAAAACUUAUAAUAUUUUGAAAAACAUUUUUGUAGAAUUCAUUUUCAAAAAUAUAAAGAAAAAAUCCAUUUUUUUAAAGCUAAAACAAACUGGCCCUUAAACCUAUCAUCCGGGGCCUCUUAUCUAGCAUACAUCAAGAACAAUAUUAAAAAUUUGAUUUCUAUUUUAUAUGUGUAGGUAUAUACAGUCAAACUACUAACAAAUAAUAAGAAAAUUAUAGAUUUCAUAAAAAUUGUAUUAAGCACUUUGAAAUUUCAUACGGGAAUUUAUAAAUUAAACAUGAGAAAUGAUAACAAAAUAAUAUUGUCUCACAUGAUUAAAAAUAAAGAAUUCAAUAAGUAAAACGCAAAGAUAAUAGAGUCAUAUAGCAGAUAAGAUAUGGAUAUUUAAAGCAAUAGGGAAGUCAAUAAGUAAAACGCGAAGAUAAACACCCAAACAUGCGAAUGAGGAAACCAAGACUGAGUUUGACUUGCAUAGGGAAGAGUCUCCAAUAGAGUCGCUAGAUGUCGCUAUACGAAAAAUACAGAGUCACCAUCGGAUUUUAUUUAUUCCAAAGGAAAUGGGAGAUAUCGAGAAAACCCCAAAAGAAUGGUCAUCGCAAUCAUGAGCAGAUUCAUAAGUCGAUUAUGCAAAGGGAAGGUAUUAACAUACCUCACAUCCAUUGUACUCAAUGAGAACCAUCUUGAUUGUCUACGCUUAAAUGGGUGUUACUCCUAAUGCUUACUUGAUAAAGAUUUACGGAGUGGAAAUGAGUUUUUUAUUAGUGUGCUCGCAAAGGAUUUGGACCCUCGUGCCUACGUAAGCUCACUUGUUGAAGUGAGAAAUCUGAGUCCCGUAGUUCCUGAUAAAAAAUGAUUGUUUGUUGAUUGAUUUUACCUUGAAAAAGGGUUUUCGGAAUGAUGCCCUAAGGCGCAAAAUAUAGUUUGAUGAGUUGAUGUUAUUUUUAGGUUUUUUUUGGUGAAAAUGUGGUUGAUUUGAAUUGCACUACUACACGGAGCAUGUCAUCCUAAUCGUAUUUUAUUACUUUUUGAGUUUUAUUGAGAGAAUGCCACUUGAUGUUGAAUCAAGGGUUUUUGAUAAAUAUUUUGUGAAAUUGUGAGAGAUUGAGAAAUGAGGUGGAAUAGAGUGGAUAAGAUACUUAACGUUGGAUCAAGCACCCGAGUUGCUUUGUGUGAGUUUGUUUGGAAAACACUUGAUGUUGGAUCAAGUGUGCUUUUUUUUUGUCUUUUGAAAAGUCUCUUUUUAUCGUUUGGUUUUAUCUUUUUAGUUAGCAUGCAUGGAAAGCUAUAAAAGCAUAUAAACCUAAGUUAUUACACUUGCAUGGGAUGUGGGGACAUGUGACCCACAAUAGGGAGAUGGAACUAUACAAUACAAAGGAUAAAGAAUUGGAAACCAUACAAGUAACAAUGCAACUCCAUGCAUAAAACAAUCAAGUGAUAUGGUGUCCUAAAAAAUAAAAGGAAAAUGAUGAUUAAUAGGAAAGUAACUUGGACCCAACUUGAGGUUACAAUGGUCAUGUAAACACCCAAGCAAGUGGGGUUAUUAUGAAUUAAAACAAAUAAGAACAAUGCAUUAAAAUCAGCACAUUCAAUUAUUAUCCAUGCAUAAAAGAAUUAUUUAAGAAAAAAACAAAUCAUUCAUGCAACAAUAAUCCAUGCAUGCCAUCAAGAGUGGAAGAAUUAAUUUCUAAUGGUCUUUUAAUUUAAAAAUUAAAGUCUCAAGUAAAAAUUUAUCCUAGUCAUUUUUCAAGUGUAUUUGUCAUGACUUAACAUGGAAAUGAAUGGAGUUAAUGGAGAAUUAAUUCAAUUAAAUGUCAAAAGAGAAAAUAUGCUAAUUAACCACAAAACAUGAAUUUAUUAUGAAUUUACAUGAAUUAAAUAAUUGACAAAGAAAUGAUAAAAAAAUCAACAAUAGAGUAAAAACAAUUGAAUUUGUAGGGGUGCAUAACUCAGGGGGUGUGCAGCCUGGAAAAAGAGGCUUUGCGUCUAACAGAAAAGACCCAAAUACAAAGAGUUACUAUUGGAUUCAACAUGGAUAUCAUCCAGUAAAACACAUGUGUGGAAAGCAAAAUUGUGGACUUAAUGGCCUAAGCCAAGCAAAUUUGGCAAGGGAAUGAGGCAAAAAUUCAGCAACACUAACUUCAUCAACAUCUCUACACAUCUUGUUCAAUUUUCAUGUAAAAAAGAAACCACGACCAGAGCUCUGACACCACCGCGCGGGAGGCGGCGGAGUUCCCCGGAAUAAAUAAAAAGCACAAGUUUUCUACUCCUCUCAACUCCCUCUAUUCUAAUCUCUCAUCUAUUCUAACCAAGAUUUAACCAAUUUUGAAAGUUGGUGCAUUACAGUCAAGAACCCUACACACAAAAACUGAAAUUAAACGGAGAUGAAGGAGAAUCAAGCCACCAAACCUGGGGGUUUUGAUUUUCUAAUGCACAAGCUACAUUAUAGUAUAAAAAAUUCAGCAAACAAAGAAGGAUAAAAAAUCGGAUACCUACAAGAUAGAGGUUUGUCUUGAAACUUGCUGAAAUUUGAAGAUGAUAAAGAUGAAGAAGAUAGAGGUAUGCUUCUUUCAUCUCCUACUUCUGCUCUUCAAUGAUUUGACUUUGAAAUUUUUUGAAUUUGGUUGUUGUUCUUGAUGUUGAUUUUUGCAAUUAUGAGAGUACUGUAGAAUGUAGGUGGUUUAGCUCAAUUGAUAACAAGCUUCAGUGUGAAGCUUGAUCUAAUUGUUGUAGAGCUUUAGUGUAGGUCGAGGAAUUGAAGAAGAUGAAGUGAUAGGAGAAAAGUUGAAUUUGCAAUGAGUGAUUUGAGAGAAUUAGUAGGUUCUGAUUUUGGUGAUAGCUAGCUUCUGGUUUCGAUGAGAGUGAUGAGUUUAUAUAGAUGCAAAUUCCAACUGUUUUAGUCAGAUUUUCCGGGCAACGACGGUUGGAAGUUAGGGCAGCGGUUAGUGUUAGAGGAUCCAAUAAACAAGUUAGUUGUGAAGUUAAUGGUGUUAGAUUUUCUGUUAAAGUUAGUUGGAGUUGUUAGUGGAACUAUUAUGGGAUGUUAGAAUAGCUUAAUUGUUGGACUUUUUAUGACUUGAAGUAUGGUUGGGAGUGAGUUAGUGUAGUGUAAUGUUGCUACACAAUUGAACAUAAAUUGUAAGGUGUAUUGGACUUGGUUUGGAAGUGAUUUGGGAGUGAAAACAAAAUUUUGCAAUGCUAAAAAAUGCAGUAUUUUUUGUUGUUGUCCCAGGUGUAACCGGUUACUUGAUUUUUUGUAACCGGUUACACAUCUGAAAACUAGUGUAAAAAUUCUGAUUUUUGUCUGUGUAACCGGUUACCUGAUUUUGCAUAACUGGUUACACACACGAAAACUUGUGUUUUAGGCUGCUGAAAAUAUUGAAAAUGCAGGUGUAACCGGUUACCUAAUUUUGCGUAACCGGUUACAUGCAUGAAAAAAAGUUUUUUCUACUUUUCACUAUUUUGUGGAAUGUAUGGACCGCGACUCAUUGUGUAUGUUUUCUGGUAUAUUUUUGCAGGUCUGACUAUAAUUUUAAAUUUUUUUAGUGAUAAUUAUUAAUUGAAAAUAUGAUUUUUUUAGUGAAUAUAAUUUUAAUCUUUGUAUUUUAUUAAUUAUUAAUUAUUUUUUUAGUUAUAAUUAUUAUUUAAAAAUAUUUUUUUGAUUAUUAAUUUUUGUAUUUAUUAAAAAAAAUCAUGUGAAAUAGAAACAAUGUGGCAAAAUUCUGACAAAAAAAUCAUUAGUGACAUAUUUUCCAUGUCGUUUAUUGACAAUUUUGUGACGUGAAUUUCAUGUGGCUACCUAGUCCACAGUCUGUUGCCUAUAUCUAGACGCUGCAAUGUGGUGCAGUCUAUUGACAAUUAUCGACGUGAAUAUCAUGCCACAACUUAGUGGCUUGUUUUUCACGUGGUAAUGUGAUGCAAUCUAUUUUUUAUUUACGUGAAUAUCCUGCGACAACUUAGUGGCGUGUUUUUCACGUGACAACUAUUUGCCACGAGUACUCAUGCGACGUGUUUUGAAUACGUCACUAACUACAUUUUGUGACGUAAUAUUUGAGUUUGUGACGUGAAUUUAACGUGCGAAUGACUGUUUUAUUUUGUGUGAAUUUCGAGUUUGUUAAAAAGGAUAAGGUUUUAAUUUAGAUUUUAGGAUUUUCUUUUUUUUUUAAGGAUUUGAGCUUGUUAAGGUUGAUGAAAAAAUUGAAUACAUGGUUGACGACCAAGAAUUUGUUCUUUUUCAAUUUAAUUUAGUGUGUUAGAUUAGGGAUGAUAUGACUAUUAAUAAUUUUAUUCUUUACAAAAAUAAUAAAUGAUUAAUAUUAUUGAUUUUUAAUAGAUAAAUAAAUAACAUAAUUAACAAAUUAAAACAAUAUGAUGUGGAAUUAUAAGUGGUCCAUAUGUAAGUGACAUGUCAUUACUAGUCAUUAAAAUCUAAUCCUAUAUAAGAAAUGGGAUUAAGAAAAAACAAAAAAAAAACAAUGACAGGAUUAAUUUUUUUUUAGCAUUUGUUUCAUUAAAUAAAAAUCCCCAAAAUAAUUUAUAUUUUUUAAGUUAGAACGCAAAAAUAUAAUUAUCUAUCAUUUAAUUUACAACAUUUGAUGCAAACAAACAAAGAGUAUACUGUUGUUGAAUUUGAUGAAUUUGAUCCAGUAUUAAAAUAUUAAAAUUGAUUAUUAUCUAGAAACACGAAUGUUGAUAAAAUAAAAGAAAAGUUUUACUCAAGUAACAAACUUUAUUAGAUAAAUAUCCAAAUUAAUCCACAUUAUUUUCAAACAAAAAAAAUUCAAACAUAAAGAUGAAGUGAAUUGAAUUGGCGAAAAUGUAUAAAAAUUAAGAAGAAUUGUUAAUUUAAUUGGCGACAGUUAACAAACACAGAAGAGAGAGUACAUAUUUUUUAACUAUCACUUUAAACAUUUUUUAUAAAAUGCAUUUCUUAAACACAAUUAUAUAUUUUUAUUUUAUAUUUUGUUGAUUUUGCUCGACCCAUGCGAAUGUACCAGUCUCUUACUAAUUUUAGUAGUAAAAAUUAUACAUAUAAUUUUGUAGGUGUUACUAAAACUUAUAUAAAUAUAAAUUUUUAAUUUUUAAUUUUAUUUUAUAAAUAUAAAUUUUAUUUCAACAAUAAAUUUAAAUUUUAUCUUUUUUAAUAUUAUUAAUAUUAAAAUAACAUUAUUCAUUAAAAAUAUUUUACAAUACAUUUUCAACGAUGACAAAACUAAAUAACUAAAAUUCAAUAUUUAUACAAUUUUAUUUUUAAUUUCAAACAUUAUAUAUACUUCAUUUCAUAUUAUACAACGUCACAAUUGAUUAAUCAAAAUUUUGUUUGGCCAAAUGGCAAGCUCCGUAAGGAGGGUCAAUUACGCAUGACAUAACAUCCUUCAAUAUUAUACCAUCUUUAAAGCAAGGGAAAUCAAAAUCCUGAAACAUCAUGAAACAAUAAUUUAGAGCAUGUAUGACAGUAUUUCCUGAUUGAAUUCAAAUAAAGUGAUGAGCAAUCGCAACAAGCAUCUAAAUUUCCGAGUGUAAGUGUCAUUCGAAAAGCUUCUAUAUAAUCAGAUCAAUCAACUGAACAUGACUAAAAUUUCAAAUUAUUUUUAAUAAAUGUAACUUUGUUCAUACUUAUAAUAGAUAUGAUAGUAAUUGUCAAAAGUCUGUAAAAAUCUUGAAUCAUUACUGGUCCUCAACAAGCCUAAAAGUCAAUUCAAUCAUUCAAAUUGCAUAAGUCCUAUAAAAAUGAUUAAAUAAUAGUUAUCCCGCUAUACGCGAUCCUACUAUCUCAUAUUUCGAUGUCCUUGGUCAAAUAUCCUAUAUGUCAAAAUGUUAUCAAUGUUGGUGCAAAGGUAGAAUGAAUGAUGAACGGAAAUAUUCUAAUAAGAGAAUGACGGCUACAAAAACAUGAUAAAAGUUACAAUGAUUGUCACCCUAUUUAUAAGCUAAAACUAGAGUUACUAGAAUAGGAUAAAAUACUAAAAUACCCUCUAACAAACUUAGGGGCUAAGAAAAUAGUACAACUAAUAAAUAUGAAUUACUUCUAAUACCAUCCCUUAAUUCAUAUUCCAUCAAAACUUGUAACACCAAUUCCAUCCCUUAAUCUGAGAAAUUGAUCGUCUUGAUAGCUUUCGUCAGAGAUCUGCCAACUGUUUCUGAGUGCUGCAGUGUACAACUUCUAACACUCCCCUCUGAACUUGAUGUUCAGAAAAUGAUACUUGGUCUCAAUGUGCUUGCUUCUCCCAUGCAACACUGGUUUUUCUGGCAAGAUUGAUUGCAGACUUGUUGUCAAUCAUCAGCUUCAGAGGUUUGUUUACUUUAAUCUUCAGAUCCUGCAAUAGAUUCAGAAUCCACACAGCUUGGCAUGCAGUAACAGCCCCUGCAAUGUAUUUCAGCUUCACAAGUUGACAACGCCAACAGGUUGCUUCUUGAACACAAGAAUGGGACUCCCCCGAAAUUGAAUAAGUACCAGACGUACUUCUUCUGUCAACUCUGUCUCCACACAAUCAGAAUCUGAAUAACUCAGAAGUUCUGACUCAUCCUUUCUUCCAGAAGGAAAUAAUACUCCAUACUUCAAGUUCCCUUAAUAUACCUCAGAAUCCUGACAGCAGCUUGGUAAUGGCCACUUAGGUUUACCUCAGAAACCUACUAAACCAUCCCACUGAAUAGCAAAUCAGGUUCUGGUAUUGCACAAAUAACCUCAGAGAACCAGACCAGCUAUUUGAAGUUGUAGCGUCCACAAUCCUUUCCAUCAGAGUCAGAAUCCAGUCUGAUUUGUAUCAGAAGGUGUGACAGCAAUUCUACAAUUCUUCAGAUUAAAUCUCUUCAGAAGUUCUAAUUCAUACUUGAGCUGAUGCACAAAUAAUACCUUUCUCAGAGUAUCUGAACUCCAUCCCUAGAAAGUAUGUCAUUUUGCCUAGAUCAGUCAUUUCGAAUUCAUUCAUCAGAACUUUCUUGAACUUGGCUAUCUCCUGUUCAGAACUUCCAGUCAGCAGUAUAUCAUCAACAUAUAAACAUACCAGAGUCAUAUUUUCAAAAUAUGCUGAACAUAGACACCGUACUCCAUCUCACAUUUUCUGAAAGCCUUGCUUCUUGAAAAAAUGAAUCAAUUCUUUGAUUCUAAGCUCUGGGCGGGUUGUUCAUCCAUAUAGAGCUUUUAUAAUUUGUACACCAUCCCUUCCUGAUUCUUUUUCCAAAUCCAGGAGGUUGUGACACGUUAAACUUCUUCUUUCUAAUGGACCGUUCAGAAAUGCAGAUUUUACAUCUAAAUGCAUCAGAGGCCAAUUCCUGUUAGCAAGCUAUUGCAAUCACCAUUCUUAUUGUUUCAUGUCUUGCUACAGGUGCAAACUUCGAGAGUAAUCCAGCCCAGGUUUCUGUUAGAAAUCCUCUGGCUACCAACCUUGCUUUAUGUUGCCAAUUGAACCAUCUGGCUUUAACUUCUGCUUGAAAACCCAUCUGACGCUGAUGGCUUUCUUGUCUUUUGGAAGUUCUGUCAGCUUCCAAGUUUUGUUUCUCUCUAUGCAUCAAGUUUGUUUCUUUCAUGGCGCUUCAGCCAGAGUUUCUGCUUAAGAGCCUCUUCUGUACUUAUGGGUUCAGAGUCUACUAACAUGGCACACUGAAUAACUUCUCCUUCAGAGUCUACUUCAGUGUCUUGCAGCAUGUCAAAUUCUGCAUAUCUUCUGGAGAUGUUUCUGAUUCUUUGUGGUCUCUGAACUUGUUCAGAGUCUUGAGCUUCAGAGUUUCUAGCUUCAGAUGGUUGACUUCCUCCAGAGCUUUGAUCAUCUUCAGGGUCUGGCAUAUUUCCAGAGUUUGAAUUGCCACCAGAAUCUGGAUUACCAUCAGAGUCUGGUUCAUCAGAGUCUGGAUCAUCAGAGUCACCUUCAUCUUCUGAGUCUUCUCCAGAGUCAGACUCACUAUCAGAAUCAGAAUCAACGUCUUCAGAAAUUCUUAACUCUGACGUUUCUUCAGAGGUUCUAACAUCAGAAUCAGAUUGAGACUUAUCCCAAUUCCAAACUUCUGAUUCCUUCACAAUCACAUCUCUGCUGAAUUCAAUUUUAUUGGUUUCUGGACAAUAGAGCUUGUAUGCAACCUCGUAGUCGGUUUCCCUAUCAGAAUCAUCACUUUGCUUCUAUCAUCCAGCUUCUGUCUUUUGGCUUCUGGAACAUGUUUAUAGCAAACAGAACCAAACACCUUCAGAUGACUAACACUUUGCUUAUCUCCAUUCCGCUUCUGUAUUGGAACUAUUUCCUUAAACUUCUUCGUAGGACAUCAGUUGAGUACAUACGUUGUAGUGGCAAUAGCUUCUCCCCAGAGCUUCUGAGGAAGUUUCUUCUCCUUUAGCAUGCUUCUCACCAUGUCAAGCAAAGUGCGGUUUCUUCUUUCAGCAAGACCAUUGUGUUGAGGGGUAUAAGGAGCAGUAACCUCAUGCUCAAUUCCAUUCUCCUCACAGAACUUCUGGAACUCUUUGGAGUUAUACUCACCUCCGCCGUCAGUUCUAAGAAUCUUCAACUUCUGACCACUCUGAUUCUCAGCCUUCAUUCUGAACUUCUUGAAUUCAUCAAACACCUCGUGUUUAAACUUAAUAAGGGAUACCCAUGUCAUUCUUGUGUUCAUCAACAAAAUAAAACACAAAGUAUUUAAUUCCCUCCAAUCGAUGCUACUGAAUGACCACACACAUCAGAAUGUACAACUCCCACAGGAUGUUUUGCUCUUGGAGCAAGUUUCUGACGCAAAUGGAAUCGUGGUUGUUUCCUUCAUGCAAACUUUGCAUGACUUUUCAGGCUUCUUAUUGAAUGAAAUUCCAUGUACGAACUUCUUUGAAUAGAUUUUAAGCUUUGAUUCAUGAAAUCUUCAAUGAGCCACAGCACUCUCCUUUGUGCUACACUGAUUGAGCCAAUCAGAUCUUGACGUACUUGCAGACCUCCCUGACUUUCACCGUAAGACCCAAUUGAUCGGGCAUUUUCGAUUCACCUUAACUUUCUACUCUGUUCUGACUCCAUAAUCACAAUCUGAUUGCAGUCGGAUACAGGCUUCAGAAAAUCGUCCUUGAUGGUAACUGAAAAAACCUUUCUCAAUAUUAAUGUCCGCACACUCAUGAAGAUUGCUGUCUGAUGCCAGGUUAGAUCCACACUUCUGAAUCAAUUGCUGUUUCCCAUUGUUCAGAUCACUCUACAUUUCCACAUACCUUCUGCAUUAAGAUAUUUGUCAUCAAAACACUCUGAUAUCUUUGUCCUCUUUUAGAGUCAAAGUCAAUCAGCUCAUUUCUUGUUUCCUAGUAAAUGAUAUGAACAGCCAUGUCCAUAUACCACCAGUACUAGUCAGAUCCAUAUAUCAGAUUCAGAGGCAUCAUAGCACAAUUUCGCAUCAGAAUUUCUGGCUAUAAUUGUGGUCUUUGAUUUUUCUCUCCAUUGGUUGGACCAACAGUCUUUCUAGCAAGUGACCAAACUUCUUACAGCGUACACUUAGUAUUUCUUCUUGUCAUCUUCUCUUUGUCCCUCUGAGCAUUCUUUUGUCUAUCAGAGGUUGACUUUCUGAUUCUGACACACCAUCAAAGAUUUCGACUGGCUUCUGACUGCUUCUUGGAUACCUCUAUCAAGUGCUUCAGAGCCGCUGCUUACUUCCUUCAGAAUUCUUCUCAGCAAACCAAACUCCUUGCGCUUCUAGACUGCUCUGCAGCUCUUCAAUUCUCAGGUGCUCAGAUUUUGAAUGUUCUAGUUGCUACCACGAGUGUAAUAAAUUGAGGGUAAAGGAUGUCAAUACCUUCUCCCAUUGAUUGUUCUUUAGAAAGAGUUUUCCACUACGCUUUCAUCUCAUAGUGAUGAGAAUCACUCUGAGAUGGUAUUCAGGAAACUUUCUCAUAUUCUUCAUUGUUGAGAUUCUCAUAUUGCUUUUCUCAAGGACUGAGUUUCACCUUCUUCACUGAAUGCGGGUUCACCCACCAUACAUCUACAGUGUGUCCCACGCAGUUCUGUGCUGAUCGAUGAAUCUGCAAUCGUUCUAACACUUUACAUCAGACACAUUGAUGAAAUGAAGAAACCAUGCUGUUCCGAUCCUCUUCUCUUACUGUCCUUUGCGCGUUGUUCUGUUAUGCUGUCCGGCAUCUGCCACCGGAACAAGCCAUGUAGUGAAAGAUCUGAAAAUCUUGAGCAUCCGAACAGGUAAGCAUUUGGAAUCAUCCAACAUUCGUUUUUUACCGUCAAAUACUGGAAGUUUGGUGUUCAUGUUGCCGUUUCCGUUCAUCUUUCUACCUUGCAGAGUACACUCAGAUUUCUCACACAGUGUUUCCCAACCCACAGAAUUAAAAUUCUGAUCAGAUUUUGUUCAAGAUUCAACACGAAUCUAAGAAAUAAAAUCAAACACACAAGACCUCACGUUCACUCGUGUUUCCCGUGUUUCCCAAUGAAUCCGAACCGGAGCUCUAGAUACCAAUUGUUGGUGCAAAGGUAGAAUGAAUGAUGAACGGAAAUAUUCUAAUAAGAGAAUGACGGCUACAAAAACAUGAUAAAAGUUAUAAUAAUUGUCACCCUAUUUAUAAGCUAAAACUAGGGUUACUAGAAUAGAAUAAAAUACUAAAAUACCCUCUAACAAACUUAGGGGCUAAGAAAAUAGUACAACUAAUAAAUAUGAAUUACUUCUAAUAAUCAACCAUCACAAUUUUCCCAAAUAUUUUCUAAAUCCUUUCUCCUCACGUAAAGUCCAUCAUAUAGAAAUUACAUGCCAUUUGUAGGCUGGAUCAUAGGUUACAUUUUGGUAAACCCUAAUUACAACCUAUAAAUGUAUUUUUGUCCAUCGUUUUCGGCAAGAACUUGAACCUAGUAAAAAAUAAUAACAUAUUUAAAAUCUUAAAAUUAAAAACAAAAUAAAAAAAUAAAAAGUCCUUUUCUAGAAAGGAAUCAUUAGUUUUAGUCUACAAAAUCGUUUUUCUAGAAGGGCAUCAUUAGUUUUAGUCCACAUUAAACAGCAUGAAUUUAUAAGUCUGUUUCAUCAUUUAAUUCGCAACAUUCAAUGUAAACAAACAGUACACAAUUUUUGAAAAUGAUCCAUAAUAAAAUUGAUUAUAAUCUAGAAGUACGAAUGCUGAUAAAAUAAAAGUGUGUCGUGUGUAUACAGUGAGACGGUGAGUCAACAAAGUCACGCCAGCAGCAGCAAGGGAAUAAAUUGAGGUCGGCAAAGAAGGCAGUGUGAGUGCCUAUAAAUAGAAAGCUUUCCUAUGCUACUGAUAAGUCACACACACCAACAUACAUAUUUUCUUCUCAAACUCCUCUUUACAACUUCAUCAUCACCAUAUUAUACAUAAUCAUGGGUGUUUUCACAUACGAGAAUGAUACCACCUCCACCGUCCCUCCUGCCAAGCUCUUCAAAGCUGUCGUGCAUGAUGCUGAUGUCAUCGUUCCAAAGGUUGUUGAUUCAAUCAAAACUGUUGAGAUCGUUGAAGGAAAUGGUGGUCCAGGCACUGUCAAGAAGCUCACCUUCGUUGAAGGAGGACAGACCUUGUACGUGUUGCACAAAGUUGAAGCCAUUGAUGAUGCAAAGUUGGAAUAUAAUUACAGUAUAGUUGGAGGAGUCGGUAUAUCGGACAUAGUUGAGAAGAUAUCAUUUGAUGCACAAAGUUGAAGCCAUUGAUGAUGCAAAGUUGGAAUAUAAUUACAGUAUAGUUGGAGGAGUCGGUAUAUCGGACAUAGUUGAGAAG